UACAGAGGCCCCAAGCGUUACUGAGAAUCACUGGGUUUAAAGGGUGCGUAGGCGGUUUUUUAAGUCAGUUGUGAAAUUCCCUCGCUUAACGAGUGGGACUGCGAUUGAUACUGAAGAACUUGAAUCAGGUUGAGGUAGGCGGAAUGUGACAUGUAGCGGUGAAAUGCAUAGAUAUGUCAUAGAACACCGAUUGCGAAGGCAGCUUGCUGGACCUGUAUUGACGCUGAGGCACGAAAGCGUGGGGAGCAAACAGG
RNAcentral lists this ribosomal RNA (254 nucleotides) under uncultured prokaryote. Its description in RNAcentral is "partial 16S ribosomal RNA". It matches the Rfam family "Bacterial small subunit ribosomal RNA", at positions 524 to 776 of the family's 1533-position model. The record is from RNAcentral.